RNAcentral lists this ribosomal RNA (301 nucleotides) under uncultured bacterium. RNAcentral describes it as "partial 16S ribosomal RNA". It matches the Rfam family "Bacterial small subunit ribosomal RNA", at positions 509 to 807 of the family's 1533-position model. The record is from RNAcentral.
CAGCCGCCGCGGUAAUACAGAGGGUGCGAGCGUUAAUCGGAUUUACUGGGCGUAAAGCGUGCGUAGGCGGCUUCUUAAGUCGGAUGUGAAAUCCCUGAGCUUAACUUAGGAAUUGCAUUUGAUACUGGGAAGCUAGAGUAUGGGAGAGGAUGGUAGAAUUCCAGGUGUAGCGGUGAAAUGCGUAGAGAUCUGGAGGAAUACCGAUGGCGAAGGCAGCCAUCUGGCCUAAUACUGACGCUGAGGUACGAAAGCAUGGGGAGCAAACAGGAUUAGAUACCCCAGUAGUCCCUGUCUCUUAUAC